CGGCCAGACUCCUACGGGAGGCAGCAGUGGGGAAUAUUGCACAAUGGGGGAAACCCUGAUGCAGCGACGCCGCGUGAGUGAAGAAGCGUUUCGGCGCGUAAAGCUCUGUCAGCGGGGAAGAAACGCGGUUCGCGAGAGCCGCGGACGGUACCCGACCAAGAAGCCCCGGCUAACUACGUGCCAGCAGCCGCGGUAAUACGGAGGAUGCGAGCGUUAUCCGGAUUUAUUGGGUUUAAAGGGUGCGCAGGCGGAGGGGCAAGUCAGCGGUCAAAUUGCGGGGCUCAACCCCGUACUGCCGUUGAAACUGCAUCCCUUGAGUGCGCGAGAAGUAUGCGGAAUGCGUGGUGUAGCGGUGAAAUGCAUAGAUAUCACGCAGAACUCCGAUUGCGAAGGCAGCAUACCGGCGCGCAACUGACGCUCAUGCACGAAAGCGUGGGUAUCGAACAGGAUUAGAUACCCGAGUAC
Molecule: ribosomal RNA, 465 nt
Filed under: uncultured bacterium
Lineage: Bacteria
Description: bacterial SSU rRNA
Rfam family: Bacterial small subunit ribosomal RNA
Source: RNAcentral